Molecule: ribosomal RNA, 487 nt
Filed under: uncultured bacterium
Lineage: Bacteria
Description: bacterial SSU rRNA
Rfam family: Bacterial small subunit ribosomal RNA
Source: RNAcentral
GACGAACGCUGGCGGCGUGCCUAACACAUGCAAGUCGAACGGGAUCCAUGAGAGCUUGCUCUCGGAAGAUCUAGUGGCGAACGGGUGAGUAACACGUGAGAAACCUGCCCUGGAGUGGGGAAUAACUCGGGGAAACCCGAGCUAAUACCGCAUACCCUUGGAUGAUCGCAUGGUCGACCAAGGAAGAUUUAUCGCUCUAGGAGGGUCUCGCGGCCCUAUCAGCUAGUUGGUGGGGUAAUGGCCUACCAAGGCAACGACGGGUAGCUGGUUUGAGAGAACGAUCAGCCACACUGGGACUGAGACACGGCCCAGACUCCUACGGGAGGCAGCAGUGGGGAAUCUUGCGCAAUGGGCGAAAGCCUGACGCAGCAACGCCGCGUGCGGGAUGACGGCCUUCGUGGUUGUAAACCGCUUUCAGCAGGGACGAAAAUGACGGUACCUGCAGAAGAAGACCCCGGCGUAACUACGUGCCAGCAGCCGCGGUAAU